Molecule: long non-coding RNA, 435 nt
Filed under: Chloebia gouldiae (Gouldian finch)
Lineage: Eukaryota; Metazoa; Chordata; Aves; Passeriformes; Passeridae
Description: Erythrura gouldiae (Gouldian finch) lncRNA (ENSEGOG00005005769.1)
Source: RNAcentral
AUGGUGCUCGCUCUUCCGGCUGAGUAAGUCGGGGAACCAGAUUUUGCUGGAAGUAGAAGUCCUUUGCUCUGAGAACUGGUCUUUACAGCAUCAGGCUCUGCCCUGAUGUGUUAGCGUUAGCAGCCUGUGGAUUUCUGAGCCGCGCUGAAACGGGGGCUCAGAGCGGCCAACCUAAGUCGGUCAAGAAGAGAUGGCAGCGUGAAGCAGAGGAGGAGGAGAAAAAUAAGAUCAAGUGAAGUAAAUGAUACAAGAUCUUUGCAUGCACAUAAACAGUAUCAGAAUAUCAGAAUCUCGAUGGCCACCACAAGAAAACACCAUAGCCUGAAUACAAAGGAGCCACAAAACCCAGACCAACAUGAGCUGUACAUUAACAGCAAUGGUGAAUUGACAUGCACAGUUUGUUUUGCUCAUUUGCAGUUUUUGUAACUCUUUGCG